GACGAACGCUGGCGGCGUGCUUAACACAUGCAAGUCGAACGGAAAGGCCCUGCUUUUGUGGGGUGCUCGAGUGGCGAACGGGUGAGUAACACGUGAGUAACCUGCCCUUGACUUUGGGAUAACUUCAGGAAACUGGUGCUAAUACCGGAUAGGAGCUCCUGCUGCAUGGUGGGGGUUGGAAAGUUUCGGCGGUUGGGGAUGGACUCGCGGCUUAUCAGCUUGUUGGUGGGGUAGUGGCUUACCAAGGCUUUGACGGGUAGCCGGCCUGAGAGGGUGACCGGCCACAUUGGGACUGGGAUACGGCCCAGACUCCUACGGGAGGCAGCAGUGGGGAAUAUUGCACAAUGGGCGGAAGCCUGAUGCAGCAACGCCGCGUGCGGGAUGACGGCCUUCGGGUUGUAAACCGCUUUCGCCUGUGACGAAGCGUGAGUGACGGUAAUGGGUAAAGAAGCACCGGCUAACUACGUG
RNAcentral lists this ribosomal RNA (468 nucleotides) under uncultured bacterium. Its description in RNAcentral is "partial 16S ribosomal RNA". It matches the Rfam family "Bacterial small subunit ribosomal RNA", at positions 28 to 507 of the family's 1533-position model. The record is from RNAcentral.